Molecule: long non-coding RNA, 287 nt
Filed under: Capsicum annuum
Lineage: Eukaryota; Viridiplantae; Streptophyta; Magnoliopsida; Solanales; Solanaceae
Description: long non-coding RNA (CANN_LNC017551)
Source: RNAcentral
GGGAAGGCAGAGUAAGAUGUUUCGUUAUUCAAAAUUGGGUAAGGGUCAGCAAUAGAGUGGCAAGGAUAGUAGAAAGUGGUCUAAGAAGAAGUGAGUAGUUAUGGUUAUAAGGCAUAGUAUGCCCAAUCUCAGGCCAAUGGUCCCAGUCAACUCCGUCUAUCCUCCUUGCAAACUUUAUGGUUGGUUGCAUCGUGGUUUUUAUGAUGAGGGAAGGAACUAGUGUUUUAAUCGUGGCCAGCUGAGACACAUAUUUAAUGAUUGCCCUGGGGGCAAGGUUUCUACAUGGG